UAUUCAUGCUGGUGACUGUAACC
RNAcentral lists this non-coding RNA (23 nucleotides) under Cricetulus griseus (Chinese hamster). Lineage: Eukaryota; Metazoa; Chordata; Mammalia; Rodentia; Cricetidae. The record is from RNAcentral.